Molecule: long non-coding RNA, 3615 nt
Filed under: Erythranthe guttata (spotted monkey flower)
Lineage: Eukaryota; Viridiplantae; Streptophyta; Magnoliopsida; Lamiales; Phrymaceae
Description: long non-coding RNA (EGUT_LNC000195)
Source: RNAcentral
CAAAUAAAUCAGUUGCCCCCGAUUGAGCUUCCGUGCUGGUACAACGUGUUGCGACCGCUAUCCGUUCUCUCUCGAUUUAGAUUUCAGGUUCGUUUCAUAUUAAGUCGAGCGGUAUUGAUUUCGCUUGAGUAGAUUUGUUUUCGAACUGAGUCAUUUUCGUAUAACUUUUGUUACAUAUUUAUACUGGCCUUAUUUAUCGAGAUGCUUAAAAACACGAUGAAAUGUUGUGGCUCGUAGGAAUAAGCUCAGGCUAACGUAAUGCAGAACCUCGACUGUUAUUUUAACAUUUGUGACGUUCUCAUACGGGGCUUGUAGUUGAGUCGAAGGAAUUAAGUUUAAAAGAUAUCAUUGAAAUAGCAGUGAGAAAUGUGUUGGUACUUGGGCGUAAAAUUAAACUCUGCCUCACAAAACAAAUGUUGAUUUGGAAUAAAUAAGUCAAAAUGAUUCAGGCUCUUGCAUUAGAUGCAAGCAUUUCAUACAUAAUUAAGUAGUUUUCUUUUUUAAUUGUUCUCCGAUUGAGUAAUUACAGAGAACUCGAUAUCUCUGCAGAAUGCCCUCUUAACCGUGCUCCUACAAGAGCUUCCAGUGCAGUAUUGUGGCCACAUCUUUCACCUAUCAAAUCCAGCCAAAAUAGAAAGAAAAGAAAAUGGCCAUAAUGAAUAUACGGAACUGAAAAUCUCAACUCUUAUUUCAUAAACGAAAGAUCUUUGUAGUUAUAGUAGUACAACAAAAGGGGAAUCACUAGUGAUCCUUUUCCGUGUUACAUUUAUUAUUAAUCAUUUUCUCAAUUACAGGAAAAAAAAAAGAUACAACUUUCUUGGAUCAGAAAAGGAUUAGGGGAACAUAGAAAGGGUCACUUAAAUGGUAGAAUGGGUUUCGGGUUUCAUACAGAGAGAGAUGGCGAAAGGCCGAACUCUAGCCCCCACAGCUCAAAACUUCCCUUGAUAAAGUCGUAGUAACCGCCCUUUAGUGCGAGAGUUUUGUUCACCAAUCCCUCUCUAACGAAUGGGUACGACAACAGGUUUCCAAGUGAAACAUUCACUGCCUCCUGUUACAGUAGUUAGGAAUUUUUUUAAUCAGAAUAAUUGUUGAUCAAUUUGCUAGUUAAAUAACACUAUUAUCAUGAUGGAGCAGACUAUAUUAUGCCGUUGUUUGAUAAGAAAGACGGUUUUGACCUUUUCGCAUAGUACGCACUUGUCGCCGAAAGGCGUCUCUGCGUGCUGAGCAUUGAUCUUGGCCUUGGCAGGUAAACAGAUUUUCACCCAGUCCUCAAUGAAGUCACUUUUAAGAUCACAAAAACUCGACACGGUUAGUCAUGAUUGAUUAUGUGAUAAGAGUGUGUGUGUGUGUGUGGUUGGAGGGGGAUUCAGUAUAUGAAGUCCUUUUCUUCUUCUUCUUCAUAUGGCUUGUAAAAUAAGAUUUUCUUUUAAAUUUUAGUAAGUAAGAACACUACAACAUCGUAAUUGGGGAGAGAAAACGAGGGACUUUGACUGUAAGAACAUCAAUAUAAAAACAUGAUUUCUGAAAUUUCGAAAGAAAGUAGAAGGCUUACGUGGAGGUGGUUCCAUCGAAUGGGAAGGACAUGAGCCCCUUGAUUCCUCCACAGGCACUGUGUCCAAUCACCACAAUUUCCUGGACCUGUAAUAAUAUUUAUUUUACUAUGUUAAUUCCACACAGCCACUUAUCUAUUAAACUCUUGAAUUACGUGGCUGCGAUUUUCAGUGUUUAUUUUAGCUGAGAAGGAUUUUAGUUUGUUUCACCUUUAGGUGCAGAACACCGUACUCAAUAGCAGCCCCAACUCCAGAGUAUUUGGUCUGUUGCAGCAGAAAUAUUGGAGAAUACCUCGUGUUUUAGAAACUCGAGAAUAUGAAACACUAAUGUCAAACAGAUGAAUAAAAAAAAGCCCGUUUAAUAAGACCUUAUCGUAUGCAGGAACCAUGUUGGCAAUGUUUCUGACCACGAACGCCUCCCCUGGCUGGAAGUCCAGCACAUGCGAUGGGCACACACGCGAGUCUGAGCAUGCGAACACCAUGAACUGUCCAAGUACAGUUGCUUAUUAUAUCAAUGUAAGAGAAUUUAAGUCUAUGGUUCUUAUGCUUAAGAUGAAAGACUUUUGGUAAUCGAUUAAUAAGACGAUUAAAACUCGUGAAUCUUUAUAUAUAUAUACCUUGGGGCUCUGACCUUUGGCAAGUUCGCCGUAUAAUGCUGGGUUCUGCCUGUAUUUUUUUAUAAGACAAUAGAUGUUAGAGACUCGAUUCUUUGAUUUUUCUUGUUUGUCUGAAUUUGCAUUUCCAUUCUAAAGUAAUUUGAUAAACGUUGGCUUACUCGUAUUUCUCUUUUUUGAAGUGGAUGAAUCCAGUUUUCAACCUCUCGAUGGACUCGGAAGAGGAGACGCUUCCAUCGACUGUUUUCAGUUCAGCUGUGAUUUCAUCAAUUCUUGCUGCAGCGACAGGUCCUAGUUCUCCAUUUUCACUGCAUGCAUUCAUUCAUUCCAUUUUAAGCUUAAUUUUAUAAAUUUCUUAUAUGGCAAUCUUAAAUCACAUAAACCGAAAAUAGCGACGUAUUUACACUUGUCGAUUACGAAAUUAAUAUGAAAGUGUAUCCUUAGCAAACCUUAGAAGCUUUCCGAGUGCAGCAAUGGCCUCCUCGUAUGAGUCUUUUCCCAUGUCUUCCUUCUGCAGUUUGUCAAUGCAUUAUUAUUAGAUAUUAUAACUGAUAAAGAUUUGUGAAUAUAAAUCAAGUAAACUAAAAGGAAACAGUACUAUAUUAUAUAUUUGGCAGAGGGUCCUUUAAUUUCUGUGAUUUUUUAUUUUAUUUUGCUAGUAAGAUUUUUUUAGCUAGUAUAAUGGCGAUUAGGCACACGUGGAACCUUAAGUUAAGGUUGUAAGAAUCAAUGUUCCAAAAUCCUUAACAAUAUCACAUGAAAAAAUAGGCCAUGCAUUGAAUUUUGUCCACGUCAUCACAGUUUUGUAACCGAAAGUUCCACGUGAACUGUCACCUAAUUGUAGUGUGCAAGUGGCAUCACUCUUGAGUCGUGAGCAUUUAAACCAGUACUCGAGCUAUUAAAUCAGCUGUAUAAUAAUACCCCAUAACUUAAUAAUCCCUUAAUUAUCCAAAGUCAAGUUAUCUAUAAUAUAAAAUCAAAUUAAAAUGAUAAGAAAACAGCUACAAUUUUUGAAGUCUAAAAACUAAAAACCAAAGAUUGGAUCCAAUACCAGACGGAAAUUAAAUAUGAAUCGAUUAAAAUUAAUAAAUAGUUUUUUUUUUCAAUUUUUUUAUUAUUAUAGAUUUACUGCCUCAAUGACUGCAUUUGAACAAUGAAGAUAGAUAAAAGCAUAUAAAUAUAUAUAAUUAGUGCGAGCGAUCGAAGAUACCAAAAGUGGGUGGAUGAUGGGAGCAGGAGCAGCGAAAACGGGCUCGUUACGGAUGAGACUGAUGGGAGUAGUAGCGGCAGAGGAGGAGGAGUUGAGCUUGGCGGUGGCGACAGGGCGGAACGCAACUUUAGAUUGAGUUGAGGUGGUGGUGGUGGUGGAAGUGAGGAGUUGAGAAGCAAAGCAGCUCUUAAUAGUUGAAAUGGAGCAAUGGGCCAUAUUCUAUUAUUCCCUCCCACUACUA